AGUCUUUGAAGUUAGAUGCAUGAUUUUUGUCGAGCCUGCAACUUUUGUUGCAGAAAGCUCGACAUAGGGAUAGUUAUCCGGCGGCGGCGGUGUUAGCUCACUUCUUAAAAGCUUUAUAUUUUGGAAGGUAGAAGACCUGGAUGCUUCAUACUUUGUAUAUAGAUGCCUCAUGUUACGAACUUUCUGUCAGUCACAUGUCCAAUGUCCUUGACCUCAUUUUCAUGGUUCAGUGACUACUUGAAAAAAAAGUUAAGAUUUUUUGUAAUGUUAAAUUCUCUCUUAUUAUAAGUAAUUGGAUAACUAUAUUCGGUAUGUGCGUACCUUGCAAGGUCCUCAUGCC
This 340-nucleotide long non-coding RNA is filed under the name Mytilus galloprovincialis (Mediterranean mussel). The record is from RNAcentral. Lineage: Eukaryota; Metazoa; Mollusca; Bivalvia; Mytilida; Mytilidae.